RNAcentral lists this long non-coding RNA (315 nucleotides) under Zea mays. RNAcentral describes it as "long non-coding RNA (ZMAY_LNC002690)". Lineage: Eukaryota; Viridiplantae; Streptophyta; Magnoliopsida; Poales; Poaceae. The record is from RNAcentral.
UGACGGUGGCCCUGACCCCCAACAUCGAGAUCGCCAUGGGGCUGUCGUUCCUCAUCUUUAUCUUUUGGAACGUCUUCUCUGGCUUCAUAAUCGUGAGAGAGGUAACCCCCCAUCUGAAUCGGCUGAGAAAUGAAUUGGAUCCAUUAGCGAGCUGGUGAAAUCACCAAAUCAAACCAAACCAAUCCGUAUACCUGACGAGUUGAGUAAAUUUGCUGCAGAUGAUGCCUGUGUGGUGGCGGUGGGUGUACUGGGCGGAUCCGGCGGCAUGGACGGUUUAUGGGCUAAUGUUCUCACAGCUCGCAGACAGGACGGAGC